UAGCGAUGAUGAAAAUAGCGUUGACUGUGAAGACUUGGGUCUCUCACAACCGUCUGAUCUACGGACGAAUAUCACCAACGCCACGGAGCUC
Cucumis melo (muskmelon) is the source of this 91-nucleotide non-coding RNA. Lineage: Eukaryota; Viridiplantae; Streptophyta; Magnoliopsida; Cucurbitales; Cucurbitaceae. The record is from Rfam.